Dipodomys ordii (Ord's kangaroo rat) is the source of this 203-nucleotide long non-coding RNA. RefSeq lists it as uncharacterized. The transcript is spliced from 3 exons. NCBI's taxonomy places the organism in Eukaryota, Metazoa, Chordata, Mammalia, Rodentia, Heteromyidae. The record is from RefSeq and is a predicted model, not a curated record.
CCUGAGCUUGGGCUGUAGAACAUUGCCAGGAAGCAUUGCCAAGGGGCCAUAGCCCUUCCCACCAGGUGCGCAGCACCAGAAGCAUUCUCCUGAUUCUGAAAGAAAAUGAUGCCAGAAAAAAAGGUUCCCUCAUAUGUGCACCAUCUCACCAUUCUUAAGAGAGAAAAUCUCACCUGCUUAACAUAAACGUAUAGAACCCCCAG